GGGGCUAUAGUUAACAAUAACAUUUGAUUUGCAUUCAAAAAGUACUACUAAAUAGUUAGUCUCA
Molecule: transfer RNA, 64 nt
Filed under: Tumulitermes sp. AUS5
Lineage: Eukaryota; Metazoa; Arthropoda; Insecta; Blattodea; Termitidae
Description: tRNA-Ala
Source: RNAcentral